UACGUAGGGUGCGAGCGUUAAUCGGAAUUACUGGGCGUAAAGCGUGCGCAGGCGGUUAUUUAAGCCAGACGUGAAAGCCCCGGGCUUAACCUGGGAAUGGCGUUUGGGACUGGAUAGCUGGAGUACGGCAGAGGGAGGUGGAAUUCCACGUGUAGCAGUGAAAUGCGUAGAGAUGUGGAGGAACACCGAUGGCGAAGGCAGCCUCCUGGGCCAGUACUGACGCUCAUGCACGAAAGCGUGGGGAG
This 245-nucleotide ribosomal RNA is filed under the name uncultured bacterium. RNAcentral's name for it is "partial 16S ribosomal RNA". It matches the Rfam family "Bacterial small subunit ribosomal RNA", at positions 524 to 768 of the family's 1533-position model. The record is from RNAcentral.